This 253-nucleotide ribosomal RNA is filed under the name uncultured bacterium. Its description in RNAcentral is "partial 16S ribosomal RNA". It matches the Rfam family "Bacterial small subunit ribosomal RNA", at positions 524 to 776 of the family's 1533-position model. The record is from RNAcentral.
UACAGAGGUGGCAAGCGUUGUUCGGAAUUACUGGGCGUAAAGGGCGCGUAGGCGGCUUGGUCAGUCCCGUGUGAAAUCCCUCGGCUCAACUGAGGAACUGCACGGGAAACUGCCUGGCUUGAGUUCGGGAGAGGGAAGCGGAAUUCCGGGUGUAGCGGUGAAAUGCGUAGAUAUCCGGAGGAACACCGGUGGCGAAGGCGGCUCACUGGCCCGGUACUGACGCUGAGGCACGAAAGCGUGGGGAGCAAACAGG